UAUUUAGUGCAUGGAAUAAUAGAAUAUGAUCUCGGUUCUAUUUUGUUGGUUUUCAGAACUCCGAGGUAAUGAUUAAUAGGGAUAACUGGGGGCAUUCGUAUUGCGACGUUAGAGGUGAAAUUCUUGGAUCGUCGCAAGCACAUCAGCKAAASAUUUGCCAAAGGUGUUUUCAUCAAUCAAGAACGAAAGUUAGAGGUUCGUUGGCGAUUAGAUACCGCCCUAGUUCUAACCGUAAAUAUGUCGUCUAGCGNNCCCGACGUUACUACAACGGCUCGGCGGNCAGCUUCCGGGAAACC
This 296-nucleotide ribosomal RNA is filed under the name Ectoedemia populella (poplar petiolegall moth). RNAcentral's name for it is "partial 18S ribosomal RNA". It matches the Rfam family "Eukaryotic small subunit ribosomal RNA", at positions 810 to 1110 of the family's 1831-position model. Lineage: Eukaryota; Metazoa; Arthropoda; Insecta; Lepidoptera; Nepticulidae. The record is from RNAcentral.